Molecule: RNase P RNA, 390 nt
Filed under: Oceanipulchritudo coccoides
Lineage: Bacteria; Pseudomonadati; Verrucomicrobiota; Opitutia; Puniceicoccales; Oceanipulchritudinaceae
Description: Bacterial RNase P class A
Rfam family: Bacterial RNase P class A
About the family: Ribonuclease P (RNase P) is a ubiquitous endoribonuclease, found in archaea, bacteria and eukarya as well as chloroplasts and mitochondria. Its best characterised activity is the generation of mature 5'-ends of tRNAs by cleaving the 5'-leader elements of precursor-tRNAs.
Source: Rfam by way of RNAcentral
ACCGGUUGGCGGGCUCCCGCUGUCGUUCUUCGGGACGGUAGAGGAAAGUCCGGACACCAUAGGGCGGGAUUCCUUGUGAAAGCAGGGGCACGCAGGCUGCGAAGCCGGCGUGACGGACAGUGCCACAGAAAAUAUACCGCCUCGAUUCGUCGAGGUAAGGGUGAAAUGGUGAGGUAAGAGCUCACCGCCCGGAAGGUAACUGACGGGGCACGGUAAACCCAAUCUGGUGCAAGACUGAAUAGGGGAUCGGGCGGCCCGUCCGAUGAUCCCGGGUUAGUCGCACCUCCGACUUGUCGGGGGAUUCCGCUUCGGCGGGAUAGAUAAAUGGGAGCCACUUUCCCCGACUUGUCGGGGAGGGGACAGAAUCCGGCUUACCGCCAACCGGUCCUU